CAAUAGCGUAUAUUAAAAUUGUUGCAGUUAAAAAGCUCGUAGUUGGAUUUCUGGUUCGGCGCGCUUGGUCCCUCUCGGUCUUCGGGAGUGUGUACUGGUGCGCGCCAUCCAUCCUUCGAGUAAACACUUCUGCUCUCACGGGUAGAGGUGCUACCUCGAUCUUUUACUUUGAAAAAUUAGAGUGUUUAAAGCAGGCUUGCGCUAUGAAUACAUUAGCAUGGAAUAAUAAGAUAGGACUUUGGUACUAUUUUGCUGGUUUGCAUACCAAAUUAAUGAUCAACAGGAACAGUUUGAGGAUAUUCGUAUGAACAUGUCGGAGGUGAAAUUCUUGGAUUUUGAUCAGACGAACUACUGCGAAAGCAUUUAUCAAGGAUGUUUUCAUUAA
RNAcentral lists this ribosomal RNA (385 nucleotides) under uncultured eukaryote. RNAcentral's name for it is "partial 18S ribosomal RNA". It matches the Rfam family "Eukaryotic small subunit ribosomal RNA", at positions 592 to 976 of the family's 1831-position model. The record is from RNAcentral.